UGGGGAAUUUUGGACAAUGGGCGAAAGCCUGAUCCAGCAAUGCCGCGUGUGUGAAGAAGGCCUUCGGGUUGUAAAGCACUUUUGUCCGGAAAGAAAUCCUCUGGGUUAAUACCUCGGGGGGAUGACGGUACCGGAAGAAUAAGCACCGGCUAACUACGUGCCAGCAGCCGCGGUAAUACGUAGGGUGCAAGCGUUAAUCGGAAUUACUGGGCGUAAAGCGUGCGCAGGCGGUUUUGUAAGACGGAUGUGAAAUCCCCGGGCUUAACCUGGGAACUGCACUCGUGACUGCAAGGCUAGAGUAUGGCAGAGGGGGGUAGAAUUCCACGUGUAGCAGUGAAAUGCGUAGAGAUGUGGAGGAAUACCGAUGGCGAAGGCAGCCCCCUGGGCCAAUACUGACGCUCAUGCACGAAAGCGUGGGGAGCAAACAGGAUUAGAUACCCUGGUAGUCCACGCCCUAAACGAUGUCAACUAGUUGUUGGGGAUUCAUUUCCUUAGUAACGUAGCUAACGCGUGAAGUUGACCGCCUGGGGAGUACGGUCGCAA
This 543-nucleotide ribosomal RNA is filed under the name uncultured bacterium. RNAcentral's name for it is "partial 16S ribosomal RNA". It matches the Rfam family "Bacterial small subunit ribosomal RNA", at positions 355 to 891 of the family's 1533-position model. The record is from RNAcentral.